RNAcentral lists this long non-coding RNA (2154 nucleotides) under Salvia miltiorrhiza (redroot sage). RNAcentral describes it as "long non-coding RNA (SMIL_LNC000178)". The record is from RNAcentral. Lineage: Eukaryota; Viridiplantae; Streptophyta; Magnoliopsida; Lamiales; Lamiaceae.
GGUCCCUGGCGACAAUAUAAUGGUUGCAACCCUGUAACAUGAAAUCGCAUUGUGGCAUACCAAGGACGGUGAAGUCCUGGACCAAUUAUGCUGGCCCCUAGCGAUAAAUAUUUUUACAACACAUACGGUAAACACAUAAUAUUAAAAUGGACAAAUAUUAACCACGUGCAUGUACUGAAAUAAAUCCCACACCUGAAAAUAUGGAUUUGAUAGAUAACUUGAAUAAUUUCAGAUCAACAGUUAUGUCCUAGUCGCGCCGCACCUAGUCAGAUAAAUUCAAAUAAUAAAACAUAAGGACUUAAUUAAAAUAUUUUAAAUAUAAUUAAACUUGAGAAAAUUAUUUAUAUAAGUUUUUUUUAGAAAAUCUGAAAUGGGAAUAAUAAUUAAAAGAGUAACUAUGGGCUUAAAUAAAUUAUGCUCACUACUUAAAAGAAUUAACUAAAUUAGAAGCCCAAUUCAAUUAAUAAAAUUAAGACCCAAAAUAAAGCCCAUUCCUAAGCCCAUCUAACAAUCCCUAAUUAAACUUACACACACCCCAACACUCCCACGACACAAACACAUAGCAGAUUCACUAAAAUUCACAACUCACGCCUCUUCCCUCUCAGCCGCUCUCUCUCUUCUCUCCACCCCUCUAUCUCCCUCUUGGCCUCCUACCACCGCGCCACCGGACGGCCGCCACCGCCGGAGGCCGGCGGCUCCUACCUCCUCACUCUCCUUCCCUAUUUUCCUAUCUCCCUUCAUCCUCCCCUGCCCCUGUCCUCGCCGUCCCAGCCACCUCCUCCUUCGACCGGAACAGCACAGCAGAGCCGAGACCGCGCCGCCACCGCCACCGCCACCGCGACGGACAGCAGCACAGCCCAAACGCUUCUCCCUCCGCCCUGACCGGUAAUACACAGCAGCGGCAGAGACCACGGUGCCGCUGCCCCUGUUUCCUCUCGCCGUACGCCGCCCCUACUUCUCCCCGCCACCGCCUCUGCACCAACUCCUCCCCCAAAGUUCAGUCCAACUCUCUUUUAUCAGUCUAGAUUUUCAAAAUUUCUUUCUCUGUAAACUAUGGAUAUGAAUUCUAUUUGAUUUCAUAUUAAAUAUAAAUGAUAGAUUUGAUGAUGUAUGCAUGUAUGAAUUUGGAAAUCUUGGUUUUGAGCAGAGAAUGAAGAAACAAUUUAGAUGCUGAAAUAAAAUUUCAUAGUAUCUGCACAAAAGAAAUCAAAAUUACCACUUGAGCGAAAAUGAACAGACGAGAAGUUGGUGUAAGAAAACAAAUGAGGAAAACGAAUUGGGGAUGAUGAAUUGAGGAUGAUGGAUUGAGGUAUAAAUAGGAGAAGUUACGUCGGCAGCAAUGAGAAGUAAAUACUUGUUCGAUGCUGUAGAAUUCAAAGUUUUGAAUGUGAAAGAAAUCAAAUUUCCUGCUGUAGAAUUCAAAGUUUGAUGCUGUGGAGGAAUCAAAAAUCAACAUUUGCUGCAGAUGAUAACAGAUGGUGGCUGAGGAAAUUUACACUUGCUUUCUAAGUUUCAGAAUAAAAUAUAGCUGAAGAUAAAAUCAAAGUUUGCUGAUCAAAGUUUGCUGCUGGAAAUCAAAGUUUGCUGCUCAAAGUUUGCUACUGUAGUGUUUGUCAAAUACUUACGUAAAGGAAUUUAUCCAAAAUGAUUUCUUAUAAAAGAUUUUCUUUUUAAGGAAUUUUGGUUAUGUGCAUAUGUACAGAGGGGUUUGGUUUAAUGGGCUUGUUUUGUUUCACAAAAUAAAUGAGAAUGAAAGAAAAACGUAGUAAUUUGCUGUGAUGAAUUAAAACAUGAAAUCUCACAGAAACAAUAAAAUUGCCAAUUGAAGUUUUGUGAAGGAAAUAUCAGAAAUGAGAAGUCUGUUAACGUGAAUGAAAUUUGUGCUCUGGAAAAUUUUGAUGAAAUGAAACCUAAAUUUUGAUGAAAUGAAACCUAGCAGGUUAUUUGGGUGAAUUUAAAUGUGAUAGCAGUGAGUGAUACGUGGCUGAAUAAAAUUAGGUGACUGAAGGUGAUUAAAUCCGAAUAUGUGGCUAAGGAAAAACUGAACCACGUAACAUCUCAUUUUAAUUAAAGAAAGACAUAUGGACUUAUAAUAAUAAUUGGGCUUUAAAGAUGAUAAAUGGGCUUUCAAAUAAUAAAAUUUUAACCCAAUUA